Molecule: ribosomal RNA, 192 nt
Filed under: Macrocephalus sp. 1 CW-2009
Lineage: Eukaryota; Metazoa; Arthropoda; Insecta; Hemiptera; Phymatidae
Description: partial 28S ribosomal RNA
Rfam family: Eukaryotic large subunit ribosomal RNA
Source: RNAcentral
GCUAACGCUUCCGUAUGAAGACGAGUCUCAUCCGGUAGAGCGAAUGAUUAGAGGUAUUGGGGUCGAAACGGCCUCAACCUAUUCUCAAACUCCAAAUAGAUGAGAACCUCGGCUUGCUUAAAAGUGAAGCCGUGGGUAGUCUAAAGACGGAUCAAAGUGGGCCAAUUUUGGUAAGCAGAACUGGCGCUGUGG